AGUGAACGCUGGCGGUAGGCCUAACACAUGCAAGUCGAACGGCAGCACAGUAAGAGCUUGCUCUUACGGGUGGCGAGUGGCGGACGGGUGAGGAAUACAUCGGAAUCUACUUUUUCGUGGGGGAUAACGUAGGGAAACUUACGCUAAUACCGCGUACGACCUACGGGUGAAAGCAGGGGAUCUUCGGACCUUGCGCGAUUGAAUGAGCCGAUGUCGGAUUAGCUAGUUGGCGGGGUAAAGGCCCACCAAGGCGACGAUCCGUAGCUGGUCUGAGAGGAUGAUCAGCCACACUGGAACUGAGACACGGUCCAGACUCCUACGGGAGGCAGCAGUGGGGAAUAUUGGACAAUGGGCGCAAGCCUGAUCCAGCCAUACCGCGUGGGUGAAGAACGCCUUCGGGUUGUAAAGCCCUUUUGUUGGGAAAGAAAAGCAGCAGGUUAAUACCCCGCUGUUCUGACGGUACCCAAAGAAUAAGCACCGGCUAACUUCGUG
RNAcentral lists this ribosomal RNA (492 nucleotides) under uncultured bacterium. Its description in RNAcentral is "partial 16S ribosomal RNA". It matches the Rfam family "Bacterial small subunit ribosomal RNA", at positions 29 to 507 of the family's 1533-position model. The record is from RNAcentral.